Long non-coding RNA from Corylus avellana, 485 nucleotides. RefSeq lists it as uncharacterized. The record is from RefSeq and is a predicted model, not a curated record. NCBI's taxonomy places the organism in Eukaryota, Viridiplantae, Streptophyta, Magnoliopsida, Fagales, Betulaceae.
AUAGCUCGCUGAUCUUUUUACCUAAGGUCACGCCCAUCUCUCUCUCUCUCAUCCUUGACGCAUCUCAGCGGGCUUCCUCUCUUUCUCUCGCCUCCAGCGGCCGUCUGUGGACUCUCUCUCUCUCUUUUCUCAUUGCAAGCGGCAAGCCGUCAUGUCUGUCUCUCGUCUCCCAUCGUGUCCGGUAGCCACCAAAAGAAGAGGAGGCAUUCACAAAUUUCUCAAGUGAUUCGUGAAUACCGGAAAACUGCUUAUCGAAUGCCAAUGGCAGUUUUGGCAUCACGAAAGCAUUACUGCACUUACAAGCACAUACGCGGGAAAGAGAAUAUUGAUGAAGAAUGGUGCACUUCCGACCCAUAUGGCUUUUUUGUUAUUUUGUUUUUAUAAAUAAGAUUCCUUUCAUUUUUCAUAACUGAAAAUGGUUUUGGAAAUUUCCAGCAAGUUGCUUUUGAGUAAUCGAGAAAUAGGAUGCCCAAAAUUUAAGUGAG